CACGGGACAAGCUUACAUGCGGCUUUCCCUUUCGGGAAACCCCAAGCACUUAGCACAAACCUUGAUUACCUUACAAACCGAGGGACGAGCUCCAACGGCCUCCCUUUAUUCUAGUAGUGGUAGUACAGAGGUGGAGUAAUACAGCGGUGGAUUCUAAAGUAUGGUGGCUAAUUCUCUCUCUCUCAGGGAGUGGUGGUGGAAGUCUUCAUGAGUGGAGUAUGAGUGGAAGUGUUCGGUGGAGUAUGAGUGUGUCUUGGUGGUGCUCUAGUGGAUGUCGUAGUGUGGUCGAUUCUUCGUCUGGUGCCUCCAUUGCUUCACCCGGUACCUCGUUUUAUAGUUGCGGCAGAGGCUUCUGGAGAUGCUUCGUGCUUAAGGCUUCUGGUGCCUUCAAUUAUUCUUCUGGUGCCUUCAAUUAUUCUCCUCUUCUGUUGCCUGGACACUUGGACGGCUCUCCGCUCCUCAAUAAUUGUCCUGGGUACAGUAGAGUUGCUGUUUAUUCCUUUUGCCUUGUCCUUUAUCGCGUAGUGUCUUCUCGUGAUAUUCCGGAUGCUGCUUGGUAUGGUCUUCCACGCCCGAAUGAUUGAUGUCGCAGACUUCAAUCAGAACAUCAUGGCAUGUAGUAUUAUUCAUUCUUCCACGCCCGAAUGAUUGAUGUCGCAGACUUCAAUCAAAACUCUUGGCAUGUCGUAUUAUUCUGCCCCGGCCGAAUUGUUGUUAACACGUUAACAACACUGGAGACUUAUUCCCUUGUGACAAAAUAUUCUCUUAUUCGAGCUUUAUUUCUAUUCUUCUUCUUCAAAAUCCGGUUCCUCUGGUUGCCACAGUUCAUACCAUGCUAGUAAUUCACGAUAUUCCUUUCUUAACUGGCAUUCCAUUCCAUAAUUUGGCUUAAGUAGCCUUCCUACUUCUUUUGAUAUUAUACUAUUCCUUCCAUAAUAUUCUCGUAGAAAUAUUUUUGUUAUUUUGUUUUGAUACAUCAUAUGGUACUCAGUAUUGAAUUUAGUAUUUCCUUCUAUUUCUUUUGCUUCACUGAAAAUUCUCCAAUUAUCAUGAUUAUUUUUGGCACGUAUUUCUUCAUAAUUGUACCAUGUUUCUGAAGACCAUAUCGUAGGGAAUUUAUACGAACCUUUUAUAAUAUAAAUAUCAUGGCUUGCUGGUCUCAAUGGUAGUGUAAAUUUUGGUGGGUUAGAAAAGUAUUUUAUUUUAUAUUUUCCUUGAACACACGCCAAUCUUUUGCAUGCUUCUUUAAUAGCCUUUCCUAAAUCAGAUUGAAGUAUUUCCUCUAAUGUUCCAUAAAUAUCUCGGACUAACCCAUGAUCAAUAAUAGUUUGUAAAGAAAUAUCUUCUCCUGUAUGCCUUUGUAUAUUUGUAAAAUAUUUUAGGUUUAUAUCAGCCUUAAGUAUUAUAAAUUUAUGAUGAGGCUUAACAAUUAACUUAUCAUCAAGAUGAAGUAAAGGAAAGGUAUUUAUAGUAACUAUUAUUCCCAAAUUCCUUUCUAUACCUUGAUAUAGCCUCAUGAAGUAAUUUUGUAUAUCCUGAAAUGUUUUAUACUGUCUUUCAGCAUAUUUCUUCCAUAUUAGAUCUAUAAUAUCUUGUGUAAAAUAUACCAGCACUUGUUCAGUCUUAAAACUUAUUCUAGGGAUAAGAAACUCAUGUGGAGUAUUGACUAAAUAUUUAUUAUUUCUUUUAUCAUUUGAAGAGUCCUCUUUCGGACUGAUCUUAUUUUCCUCAUACUUAGUAUUGACUACAUUCUUGUCACUUUGCUGUUCUAAACAUGAUCCACAUGCCUGUUUUAUACAUAAACUACAAGUAGCCCUUUUUCCUGGAUCUUGAUAAUAUAUACAAAAUACACAAUUUAUAUUAACGUCAUUUCUUUUAUGAUCCCGAAUUACCUGAUCCAUCAUUUCUAUUUUUAACCCUGCUAAUUCCUCAAUCAAGUUCAUCUCUUCAUCACUCGAUUCAUCUUCUUCAUUAUAUUCAAUCUCAUCUGUUUCUAUUAUUGAAUAUAUAGAUUCAUCAUCCAUUAUAUCAUCAUCACAUACCAGAAUAUUUUCAUUAACACUAUCUAUAAUUAACACCUUUUCUUGCUCUUCUUGCUUAUUAGAAUAUCUCUUCUUAUCUUUAUUAGGACAAGUUUUACUUAAAUGAUCUGGAGAAUUACAAAUAAAGCAUCUACAUGUACUAUCAUAAUUUUUUCUGGGAUUAUAUCUUCUUACAUUUCUCUUGUGAAGAAAAGGAGCUCUAUUAUCUGAUCUUCUUAGGAAAUAUCUUUUCUUUGUCUUUACAUUUCUCUUCUUAUAAUUUUUAGGGUAUUUCUUAUUUCUAUAUUUAUCUUCUCCAUAUGUCAAUGGUAUUUGAACUAUUUUAUUACAAAAGUUGUAAUCUGAUUGCUUCAUUGACCUUUGAGCUUGUAUGCUUGUGCAUAUUUUUCUUAGUUGCUUAAAAACAAAUGUUAUAGCCUGAGAAAUAUUAUAUUCCCUUCCAUUAGAUUCCUUUUUAUAUUCUUGAAAUAUCAUAGAUCCCAAAGGAUCUGGUAGUUUAUUAAAAUAUCUUUCAACUAUACUCUUAUUAUAGCCUUGCUUAGCAGUUGUGACGUUAUACAAAUAAUGCUGAGAGAACUCUUUUAUUCCUUUCCAAUUUGUUAAAGUCAAUUUCUCUAUUUCCUUCAACCUUUCAUUUUGUAAAGCAGUAUAACCUAAUUCUGGAUCUUCAUCUAUAACAAUACUUGAUAUGAUAUUUGCAAAAUUAUAUGGGUUGCUACCCGCUCUUUUUAAUUCUUCAUAAUAAUGAGGAUAAGUUUCUAUCCAUUGUUCCCAUAGAACUUUAACAGAUUCUCCUAAGAAUGUUUCUAAAUAUGUAAUCAUAUCUUCUACUCUACUCCCAAUAUUAUGCUGAUUUUGUAUAUAUUUUGGACUAUUAAGCUUUUCCAUAUGCUUAUAAUAUUUGGCCAAUCAAUAGGAUCAUGUGCUGCUAAAUUUAAUAUUGCACCAUCACUUCUAUAAUUCUGAAAUUGCACAGUCCUUUCAAACUCUCUCCUUUUUGAACCCAUAUGCUUAUAUUGUCCAGGUAUAUAGGUAUAUGUAGGUUCUUCCUUUUCUGGUGGCCAAUUACCUGGUUUUCUAGAUGGUCUAUCCGUUUCUCCUUCAAUUUUUAUAUCUCUCUCUUGUUCUCGUCUUCUUUUAGAUGGACUUGGAUCUAUAUCCAUGGCUUCUAUAGCAGUAUCUUUAUUGUAUAAUUCUUCAUUUCUUAAAGAAAGAAUAUGUGAAUCUGACUUACUACUAUGUAUUUCAAUUAUAUCUUCAUCCUCUUCUUCAUAACUUUCUAAUAAAAUUUUAUUAUUGAUCUCCCAUUGAUCUUCUUCACUUAUAACAACCUCUUCUUUUUCCUUUACCAUUUCUUUAUUAUUCUCAAAUUCUUUCUGAAUCUUACUAUUUUUAUUACUUACAUGUUGCAAGGUAGGUUCAUGUUUUAUCAUCGGCAUGUUAAUCUUUUUAUUAUUUAGCUCUCUUUCUUUCUUAAUUUUAUUAAGUCUAUAUAAUUCUCGUCUGAAAUAUAGCUCUUUUUCUCUAAUAGCAGUCCAUUCACAUAUCAUAGAGGUAUUAUAUUCAUCUUGAACUUUACUUAGUUUUUUCUCAUAGUGUUUUAUUUCAUUAUCAAUAUCUAAUUUUUCCAUGAAUUCACAUACACUAUGUCUUCUAGCUUCUCCUAUAUUCGACUCAGAAGUUGAAACUUCUAAAUCAUCUAAACUUCUUUCUUUGUAAUUAACAAACCUGAUACUAGUUUUGCCUUUACUAUUUUCAUAGCUUACAUAAUCUUUAGGUUGUUUAAAAAUCUUUGGUUCUAUUAAAGCACUUAUAUUCCAUUCUUCACCUGCUCUUUCUUCAGAACUAAUUUUUAAAGGACUCAUGAAUUUUAUUCCCUUAGACUGCAUACUUUCUAUUACAUUGUUUACAUUUACCUUGUAUUUAGUUGCACUUCUAUUAGUUAACCUACCUACAAAUUCUAUACUUACUAAUAAAUUUGUACCUUUAAAGUCUUCAUAACCUUUGGUCUGAAACCCUAUUGCCAUUUUAUCUAUAAAUUCUUUUAUUGGCAUUAUUAAAUCUGGAGCUAUGUAUGUUAUUAACAUAUUUUCAUUCAUAUCUCCUUCUAGGAAACCCAAUGCUGCUUUAUUCACUGAAUCCCAUCUUUUAUCUAACAAUGUUAUUAGAACUUUGGUUCCUAAUUUCUUCCUAGUCAUUCCUUUAAUUCCUAUGAUAUACAUUCCUUGAUGAAUAUAUUUGUAGCCUGAAUAUUUUAACCCGUUCUCAAAUUGUUUACUAACAAUUCUUAGCUGAACUGGUUCUGUUAGAACACUUAAUUCUACUUCUCUAGAUAUUCUGUAUAGCCCAUUUUUAUUUUCAAACCAGCCCAUUUGAUAUAUUUGCUGAGGUCUUAUCUUUCUUAAGGUAUCUCUCUGAUAUCUUUCAAGAUCUCUUUCUACAUCUAUCAUUUCUUCUAAGUUUUCAAUAUCAUCACAUCCUCCUUUCAAUCUAUCCAUAAAGCUUAAAGGCUUUAUGUCUUUAUUUAUUAGUUGGAGAGACUUGUCUCUUCUAGAGAGACUUUCAAAUAUUUCCAUUUUUCAGAGUUUAAUGAUCUAUUAAACUCGACUAGUCCUGUUGAUGAUAGAACUAUUUCUUUGUUGUGCUCAAAAUUAGUAUUAUCAAAUUUCUUAUAUAAGUGAGUUAUAUCCUUUUUAAUAUAAUCACUAUUUUGAAUGAUUCUUCCUAGAGAAUUUCUACUUUCUUCUGCUGCUUGCAAGAUUAAUUCUAGCUUAUUGUUCAAGGCUAAAAUAUUCUCUUCUAGAUGCUUAUGUUCUUUCUGCAGUUUUUCAAAUUUUAAUUCUAAAUCGUCUUGCCUUUUACCCCAAGAUAUAUAGAAGUUAUGUAUUAAAUCAACUAAUAAAUUGAUCUGACCGUGUGAAGUAUGCCAAGUAUGAUCUUCAGAGCUAUUUAUUCUGCACCUUAUAUUUAUAUUUUCUUUAGUAUUAACUGUCUUUCCUGUAUUAACUUCUAGAUUUAAAUAGUGAAGUUUUUCAAUCUUGACUAAAUAUAGAAAAACCCUCAAAAACACAAAUUUCUAACAACCUCGGCUCUCAUACCAGUUGAACGCGACGAUCGAGGGCGAGCGACUCCGGAAAAUUUCGGAAUUCAAAUUUCGAGUUACUAUUCACAACACUAUUCAAAUUCGGCGAACACUAUUCAAAUUUGCGGCACUAUUUAAAUUCAGCUCACUAUUCAAAUUCGGGAAUAUGAAUAGUGCCCGAGCACUCACGGUGAGUGGGUGGAGCACCUACGGGUGGCGGCACUAUUCAGCCACUAUUCACUCACUAUUGCGCACUAUUGAGCUACUAUUCACUCACUAUUGCGCACUAUUCGGGGUCGCUUUUCGGGGGAUACGAGCACGCGCGGGUGCGUGAUUAGGUAUAUUCCUUAAUUAGGUGUAUUCUCAGGAUCUUUGCGGGUUGGUGAGACCGAAGAUUCAGCCGGUCGUGCUGCUAUGCUUGUGACAGUCCUACUCGGUACUCACCGCAUGCCUCGCUGGCUCGCUUCAGAACCAGGCCAGCCCGGACUGCACCCUCACCGUCCCCAGCCACGCUCACACAGGACUCAGGCUCUACCGUCUCCCCAGGCAGUUCCACCCGAAGGGAACACUUCUCUGCGCACACAGGGUUCUCCUCAAACGCCGCUACAGGGGCUAACACGAGAACGACACACGCAGAGGUUUCUCCUCUAGGGUCCCUAGCGUAGAGACAUCGCCCCAUAAGAACGAGCUUAAAGGAAGGCAGGGAUGCUGCCAGGACAGCUUAAUCCAUUUCCACGGGACAAGCUUACACGCGGCUUUCCCUUUCGGGAAAUCCCAAGCACUUAGCACAAACCUUGAUUACCUUACAAAUCGAGGGACGAGCUCCAACGGCCUCCCUUUAUUCUAGUGGUGGUAGUACAGAGGUGGAGUAAUACAGCGGUGGAUUCUAAAGUAUGGUGGCCAAUUCUCUCUCUCUCAGGGAGAGGUGGUGGAAGUCUUCAUGAGUGGAGUAUGAGUGGAGGUCUUCGGUGGAGUAUGAGUGUGUCUUGGUGGUGCUCUGGUGGAUGUCGUAGUGUGGUCGAUUCUUCGUCUGGUGCCUCCAUUGCUUCACCCGAUACCUCGUUUUAUAGUCGCGGUAGAGGCUUCUGGAGAUGCUUCGUGCUUAAGGCUUCUGGUGCCUUCAAUUAUUCUUCUGGUGCCUUCAAUUAUUCUCCUCUUCUGUUGCCUGGACACUUGGACGGCUCUCCGCUCCUCAAUAAUUGUCCUGGGUACAGUAGAGUUGCUGUUUAUUCCUUUUGCCUUGUCCUUUAUUGCGUAUGAGUGUGUCUUGGUACCAGUACGACAAUAAACGAGAUCAAGAUACCUGUAAAGGUAAAAUUAACACCUACCAUCGCUUAUAAAAUAUUAGCACUAGUAGAUACUGGUUGUACAAAAAAUAUUAUUCAUGAUAAAUAUUUUGCAAGAUGCCCAGAGAUAGUGCCCGAGCACUCACCGGGAGUGGGUGGAGCACCUAUGGGUGGCGGCACUAUUCAGCCACUAUUCACUCACUAUUGCGCACUAUUGAGCUACUAUUCGGGGUCGCUUUCAGGGGAUACGAGCACGCGCGGGUGCGUGAUUAGGUAUAUUCCUUAAUUAAGUCUAUUCUCAGGAUCUUUGCGGGUUGGCAAGACCGAAGAUUCAGCCGGUCGUGCUGCUAUGCUUGUGACAGUCCUACUCGGUACUCACCGCAUGCCUCGCUGGCUCGCUUCAGAACCAGGCCAGCCCGGACUGCACCCUCACCGUCCCCAGCCAUGCUCAAACAGGACUCAGGCUCUACCGUCUUCCCAGGCAGUUCCACCCGAAGGGAACACUUCUCUACGCAGACAGGGUUCUCCUCAAACGCCGCUACCAGGGCUAACACGAGAACGACACACGCAGAGGUUUCUCCUCUAGGGUCCCUAGUGUAGAGACAUCGCCCCAUACGAACGAGCUUAAAGGAAGGCAGGGAUGCUGCCAGGACAGCUUAAUCCAUUUCCACGGGACAAGCUUACAUGCGUCUUUCCCUUUUGGGAAACCCCAAGCACUUAGCACAAACCUUGAUUACCUUACAAACCGAGGGACGAGCUCCAACGGCCUCCCUUUAUUCUAGUAGUGGUAGUACAGAGGUGGAGUAAUACAGCGGUAGUGGGUGAUUCUAAAGUAUGGUGGCUAAUUCUUUUUCUCUCAGAGAGUGGUGGUGGAGGUCUUC
RNAcentral lists this long non-coding RNA (7291 nucleotides) under Setaria italica (foxtail millet). RNAcentral's name for it is "long non-coding RNA (SITA_LNC004494)". The record is from RNAcentral. Lineage: Eukaryota; Viridiplantae; Streptophyta; Magnoliopsida; Poales; Poaceae.